UCUGUCAGUGAGGGAGGAGGUGAAGGAGGGGGGGCUGUCUGCCUCCUGCUCUGUGUCUCACGCCUGUCCAUCUGAUUCCCCUCUCCUCACCUGGAGCCACUCCGGAAUACCCAGUGUCCAAUCACAGCAGCUGACCAACGGACAGUGGGAAGUGACGUCAUCCCUGACCUUUACCCCCAGCAGCACUGAUCACAACCAGUCUCUGGUCUGCACAGCAGCAUACAGGGGGGGGGAAGACAACGAAAACGUUGAAAACUCUCAAUGUCAAAUAUGCCCCAGUGGAUGUGAAGGUUAAGGGAGUGUCCAGUGUGAAGGAGGGAGACUCUGUGGAGCUGAGAUGCUCCAGUGACAGUAACCCUGCUGCCCACAGCUACCGUUGGCACAACAGCAGAGGACCUCUGCCCACCACUGGACCCACACUCACACUGGAGAAUGUGACCAGACUCACUGAAGCCCUCUACUGCAUUGCCAUCAACACAGAGGGACAAGGCCAAUCCAGCCCACUGAAGCUCAACGUAGAGUAUCCCCCUGAGAUCAAAUUGGGCUCUGCCUGCACUUCAGACAUCUCCAUGGUAACCUGUCUGUGCAUUGUGAAUUUGGAGCCCCCCGGCACCGUGGAGUGGUCUCUUCCAGCCCCCUGCCCACCCUGCCCAGUACCAGACGUGAAAGGCAUGGAUCAGUUACCAUGGUGACCCUACAGAGGGCACUAGGCUUCUCAGAGAACAUCCACUGCCAUUCCAGCAACACCCAGGGCAAUGCCACCUUGUCCUUCACUGUGUCCACAAAUGAUAAGAUGUCGAUGCUGUACGUUUCAAUUGGUAUUGCUGCAUUAGUGGUGGUAGUAAUACUAGUUCCCAUGUCAGGUUGCCGAUUGAACAAGAAGGGUGGGAGGAGUCAUAGUGACCUGCCAGUAGCCAGUAUACAGGACAUGGAUGCAGCCAAGUGUGCUUCCUCAGAUCCCUCAACAUCAUGGAAUUUUUCUACAGGCUGUUUGGUCUGUGAUCAAAAUGAAAGAGCAGAAAGACACCAGCAGUGAAAUCCUCACAAACUACUACACCAACAAUCACCUAUAUGGCAACAUGGAGGCUGAAGAGGAUGGCAACCCAUUCGAGUGUGAGGUUGGAGAUGAUUCAGUCUAUGGUAACAUGUGAACACAACUGGAAGCAUGUGGAAGUCAGCUGGCUCAGAGCCCAUGAUUCAGUGUAUUGAAUACUGGGCAUGGUGUGUUCUCCUUCCUACUGUACAUCAUUGAGAGGGACCUGAGCCCUAGAACCAUGCCUCAGGACUACCUGGCAUGAUGACUCCUUGCUGUCCCUAGUCCACCUGGCCGUGCUGCUGCUCCAGUUUCAACUGUUCUGCCUGCGGCUAUGGAAUCCUGACCUGUUCACCGGACGUGCU
This is a long non-coding RNA of Oncorhynchus keta (chum salmon), 1398 nucleotides long. RefSeq lists it as uncharacterized. The transcript is spliced from 9 exons. The record is from RefSeq and is a predicted model, not a curated record. NCBI's taxonomy places the organism in Eukaryota, Metazoa, Chordata, Actinopteri, Salmoniformes, Salmonidae.